GAUCCUGGCUCAGGAUGAACGCUAGCUACAGGCUUAACACAUGCAAGUCGAGGGGCAGCAUAGUCUUAGCUUGCUAAGGCUGAUGGCGACCGGCGCACGGGUGAGUAACACGUAUCCAACCUGCCGUCUACUCUUGGCCAGCCUUCUGAAAGGAAGAUUAAUCCAGGAUGGGGAUCAUGAGUUCACCAUGUUCCGUCAAUGAUUAAAAGGUUAAGUUUUCCGGUUACGGACGGAUGGGGAGUG
Molecule: ribosomal RNA, 243 nt
Filed under: uncultured bacterium
Lineage: Bacteria
Description: partial 16S ribosomal RNA
Rfam family: Bacterial small subunit ribosomal RNA
Source: RNAcentral